AACCUGUCAACGGUUAGCUUGC
RNAcentral lists this small nuclear RNA (22 nucleotides) under Arabidopsis thaliana (thale cress). RNAcentral describes it as "snRNA_10205". The record is from RNAcentral. Lineage: Eukaryota; Viridiplantae; Streptophyta; Magnoliopsida; Brassicales; Brassicaceae.